This 127-nucleotide small RNA is filed under the name Arabidopsis thaliana (thale cress). RNAcentral describes it as "ATSL193780". Lineage: Eukaryota; Viridiplantae; Streptophyta; Magnoliopsida; Brassicales; Brassicaceae. The record is from RNAcentral.
AUAAUAUAUAAGCAUAUCCACUGGUUAUAAACAUACCUCAUAACUAUCUUCUGCGUUUCUAGAGCUAUUUGAAAUACGCACCCUGUCUUUUAGCUAUUAGUAAGCCACAAUAUUAUUUUAAUAAUAC